CAAGUCGAACGGAGUUUGUUCCUUCGGGAGCAAACUUAGUGGCGGACGGGUGAGUAACGCGUGAGCAACCUGCCUAGAAGAGGGGGAUAACGACCGGAAACGGUCGCUAAUACCGCAUAACAUUGAGAAAUGGCAUCAUUUUUCAAUCAAAGGAGCAAUCCGCUUUUAGAUGGGCUCGCGUCCGAUUAGCUAGUUGGUGGGGUAACGGCCUACCAAGGCGACGAUCGGUAGCCGAACUGAGAGGUUGAUCGGCCACAUUGGGACUGAGACACGGCCCAGACUCC
Molecule: ribosomal RNA, 284 nt
Filed under: uncultured Eubacteriales bacterium
Lineage: Bacteria; Bacillati; Bacillota; Clostridia; Eubacteriales
Description: uncultured Clostridiales bacterium partial 16S ribosomal RNA
Rfam family: Bacterial small subunit ribosomal RNA
Source: RNAcentral